CUCAAAUGAAUUGACGGGGGCCCGCACAAGCGGUGGAGCAUGUGGUUUAAUUCGAUGCAACGCGAAGAACCUUACCUACUCUUGACAUCCAGAGAACUUAGCAGAGAUGCUUUGGUGCCUUCGGGAACUCUGAGACAGGUGCUGCAUGGCUGUCGUCAGCUCGUGUUGUGAAAUGUUGGGUUAAGUCCCGCAACGAGCGCAACCCUUAUCCUUUGUUGCCAGCGGUUAGGCCGGGAACUCAAAGGAGACUGCCAGUGAUAAACUGGAGGAAGGUGGGGAUGACGUCAAGUCAUCAUGGCCCUUACGAGUAGGGCUACACACGUGCUACAAUGGCGCAUACAAAGAGAAGCGACCUCGCGAGAGCAAGCGGACCUCAUAAAGUGCGUCGUAGUCCGGAUUGGAGUCUGCAACUCGACUCCAUGAAGUCGGAAUCGCUAGUAAUCGUGGAUCAGAAUGCCACGGUGAAUACGUUCCCGGGCCUUGUACACACCGCCCGUCACACCAUGGGAGUGGGUUGCAAAAGAAGUAGGUAGCUUAACCUUCGGGAGGGCGCUUACCACUUUGUGAUUCAUGACUGGGGUGAAGUCGUAACAAGGUAAC
Molecule: ribosomal RNA, 600 nt
Filed under: uncultured Enterobacter sp.
Lineage: Bacteria; Pseudomonadati; Pseudomonadota; Gammaproteobacteria; Enterobacterales; Enterobacteriaceae
Description: bacterial SSU rRNA
Rfam family: Bacterial small subunit ribosomal RNA
Source: RNAcentral